GUCAAGUGCGGUACGGUCCAAGCCGGAAAGGGCGAGAGGGUCUACAAAGCCGAGCCGAUUUGCAGGUUUUUCUUGAAGGAUAACAUUCAAGAUAUUGGAUCGCUUGCUUCUCAAGUCAUUGUCAAUUUCGACAGCGUCUUCCUUAAUACCUGGUAUUUUUCUAUUCAUCGAUUGAGAUGUUUUAAAACAUUCAAAUUAAACCAUGAAUCUUAUGUUAUGGAUACGCUGUUUUCACAGGGCACAAUUGAAAGAUGUGGUGCUAGAAGGAGGAGAUGCGUUUGGCCGUGCACAUGGUGGGAUGAAAAUCUUCGACUAUAUGGGCACAGAUGAGAGAUUCAGCAAACUCUUUAACCAGACCGGAUUCACCAUCGCUGUUGUGAAGAAGGCUCUUGAAGUUUACCAAGGCUUCAAAGGUGUGAAUGUUUUGGUUGAUGUAGGAGGAGGAGUUGGUAACACUCUUGGUGUAGUUACUUCGAAGUAUCCUAACAUUAAAGGUAUCAAUUUUGAUCUGCCUUGUGCCUUGGCACAAGCACCUUCUUACCUUGGGGUAGAACAUGUCGCCGGAGAUAUGUUUGUUGAUAUCCCAACCGGAGAUGCCAUGAUCUUGAAAGUAAGUCCAACAACCCUCUUAUUUUAACACAUACUUACUAGAAGUGUAUGUAUGUUGUACAUUGUGCUUACUUUUUGGGAUUAAAUUUGUUUUACAGCGUAUACUUCAUGACUGGACCGACGAAGACUGCGUAAAGAUUCUUAAAAACUGUUGGAAAUCACUUCCUGAAAACGGUAAAGUUGUUGUCAUAGAAUUAGUCACUCCUGAUGAGGCAGAAAAUGGGGACAUCAACGCGAACAUUGCCUUUGAUAUGGACAUGUUGAUGUUCACACAAUGUUCCGGCGGAAAAGAGAGAUCACGAGCUGAGUUUGAAGCUUUAGCCAUGGAAUCAGGCUUUACACAUUGCAAGUUCGUUUGUCCCGCUUACCACUGUUGGAUUAUUGAGUUUUGCAAAGAAAAUGUUUAAAAAUAUAAUGAGGAAUCCUCAUGCAUCAAUUGUUAAUUUCAUCUUCGCUUUAUUCCUUGUUUGCGAUGAUCAUGCCUUUGUCCUUGUCUUCAAUGCAAUGAAAUAAAAAUAAGCUUUUAGAUUUAUUUUUUAACAGUCCACUCGCUGAAAAAUAACGGCUAGCUACUUCUCUAUUUUAAUGUUUCAAUUUUUCUAUUAUCAUGCAUAUGUUUGAAAGAAUCUUUUCAUAAUAAAUUAAUAUUCUAAUAAUGUAGUCUUUUAAGAAUACAGUUUUAAGUAUAAGAUAUCAUAUAUGAUGGGACGAAUAUCCGAUAAAAAAGAAACUGAGUCAAUUUUAAGGUUUUAUCCUUGGUAACUAUAAAUUCGGAAGGUGUGUGCAACGAUUAUAAAAAAUGCCACGAUACGAGCAUAGUAGUGUACAUAAAAUCCACGAUAAUGUUUGAUAUUUAUCUCUAUAUACACUUCUAUGCUCGUAUCGUGGAUUUUAUGUUCAUAAUUAAUUAAUUAAAGAUCUUUUAAAAAUAAAUAAAUUAAUUAAAGAUGUAUUUAAGUUUACUGAUAAGGUUAAGUUGUAGGAGUUAAAAUUUAGAUAAGUAAGAAAAUUACAAUUGAUGGAAUUACAAUGUUCGUAUAUGGUUUUGGAGGAAAAUGAAAAAUAGAGUUUAUUUUAUUGUUAUGUCAUUGAUUUAAAUUGUCUUUCUUUCCCCAGAAAUAUGCAACCUUCUUAUCCAUCCAUAACAACUCAUCAGUCAUCAGGCUCACUCACCUACCACCGUAAUAACCAUGCAAAGACAAAGGCAAUUUCAGUCACACACGUAACAACUUUGUAAUUUACUUAAAUUGGUCCAUUAUAUGGUUACUCUUUGAAUUUUAAGUUUUCUUAUGAUUAUUGAUCUAAUUAACCCAAAACUAUAUAAGUAAAAAUGAAGUUUGACAAUCCAAAACUCGUGACCUUCCUAGAAGGCCGAUUCAAGAUGGAGGCCAUAGAGGACAAGCGUGAUGUUUACACUCACUUCGGUCCAAAUUACAGCAGAUAUAUUAUCCUACUAAAGAAAAAUAAAAUAAAGAUUUCCGUAUUUUUCUUGUCCUUCCUAUGUCGCAAUCGUUCAAAUCAAGUUGGAGACUUGGAGCUAUGCGUUUCUCUGCGUAUUAUAAUUUAUUUUAUUAUUAUGCGAUCAAACUGAAGAACAAAAUAAAUAAGAUAUUUGCUUAUUAUUUUAUUUUCUUUUAUAACCGAUAUUUGCGAACGUAAUAUACACUUUUAUAGUCACUUGGUCUACCAUAGUGAUGAAAUUAAAGUGACUGUCGUCUCCUUUGAACAUUGACUUUUCAAAACCAAUUGACUUGAAACAAGAUUUAGCUGUUUCAGCCGCAACAAGGGCCUCUUACUUUUCCACAUCGAGACUAUUCAGCCAGCCAAGUGGACCGGCACGCCAACGAUAUAAUUCAAUGAAUACAAUAAAUUUAGUUAAAAUAAUAUGAGGAGGCUAUAAAGCCUUAGCUAUAAAAGGAGAAAUCAUCUUCAUCAACACUACAAAUAAGAAACACACAUACACAGCCUCUCUCUCCCUAUCUAUCUUUCCUCGCUUCUGAUCAGAGUGAUCACGUACGGUACCGUGAAAGAGAAGAAAGAAAAAAAUGGGAAUCCUUUUUGAAGAAACCUUGAGCUCUAACCCCCAAACCCAAAUUGUUAUUGAUGAUGAUGAUAAUGAGUUGGGAUUGAUGGCCGUGAGACUAGCCAAUGCUGCAGCCUUUCCAAUGGUUCUCAAAGCUUCCCUCGAGCUCGGUGUCUUUGACACUCUCUAUGCCGCCUCUGAGUUCCUCUCACCUUCCGAGAUAUCGAGCCGGCUACCAACCACACCUCGCAACCCUGGGGCGCCGGUUUUGUUAGAUCGUAUGCUUCGUCUACUCGCUAGCUACUCCAUGGUCAAGUGCGGUACGGUCCAAGCCGGAAAGGGCGAGAGGGUCUACAAAGCCGAGCCGAUUUGCAGGUUUUUCCUGAAGGAUAACAUUCAAGAUAUUGGAUCGCUUGCUUCUCAAGUCAUUGUCAAUUUCGACAGCGUCUUCCUUAAUACCUGGUAUUUUUUCUACAGUUCAUCUUAGUACAAACCUGUUCCGUUUUUCCAUGCCCUAGUUCCUGAUUGAAAUGCUAUGAGAUCUUACCUUAAACCGUACGCAAAUUUUAGGGCACAAUUGAAAGAUGUCGUGCUAGAGGGAGGAGAUGCAUUUGGCCGUGCACAUGGUGGCAUGAAACUAUUCGACUAUAUGGGUACAGAUGAGAGAUUCAGCAAGCUCUUUAACCAAACCGGAUUCACAAUCGCCGUCGUGAAGAAGGCUCUAGAAGUCUACGAAGGCUUCAAAGGUGUGAAUGUUUUG
Molecule: long non-coding RNA, 3392 nt
Filed under: Eutrema salsugineum
Lineage: Eukaryota; Viridiplantae; Streptophyta; Magnoliopsida; Brassicales; Brassicaceae
Description: long non-coding RNA (ESAL_LNC000609)
Source: RNAcentral